GGGAAUGUGGCUUAGUGGUAGAGCGCUUGCCUUGCAUGCAUGAGGCCCUGGGUUUGAUUCUCAGCACCA
This 69-nucleotide transfer RNA is filed under the name Dipodomys ordii (Ord's kangaroo rat). It matches the Rfam family "tRNA". Rfam says of the family: Transfer RNA (tRNA) molecules are approximately 80 nucleotides in length. Their secondary structure includes four short double-helical elements and three loops (D, anti-codon, and T loops). Lineage: Eukaryota; Metazoa; Chordata; Mammalia; Rodentia; Heteromyidae. The record is from Rfam by way of RNAcentral.